Molecule: ribosomal RNA, 253 nt
Filed under: uncultured bacterium
Lineage: Bacteria
Description: partial 16S ribosomal RNA
Rfam family: Bacterial small subunit ribosomal RNA
Source: RNAcentral
UACGUAGGGGCCAAGCGUUGUCCGGAUUUAUUGGGCGUAAAGCGCACGUAGGCGGUCCGUUAAGUCGGGGGUGAAAUCCCUCGGCUCAACCGAGGAAGUGCAUUCGAAACUGGCGGACUUGAAUAUGGAAGAGGGUCGUGGAAUUCCCGGUGUAGAGGUGAAAUUCGUAGAUAUCGGGAGGAACACCAGUGGCGAAGGCGGCGACCUGGGCCAAUAUUGACGCUGAGGUGCGAAAGCGUGGGGAGCAAACAGG